UGUGGAGCGGCNCAAGGGUGCGUAACACGUGGGUAAUUUGCCGUGAAGUUGGGGAUAACUCGCUGAAAGGCGAGCUAAUACCGAAUGUGGAACGAGAGUGGCAUCACUUUUUUUCUAAAGCUGGGGAUCGUAAGACCUGGCGCUUCAUGAUAAGCCCGCGGCCUAUCAGCUAGUUGGUGUGGUAACGGCACACCAAGGCUAAGACGGGUAGCUGGUCUGAGAGGACGACCAGCCACACUGGAACUGAGACACGGUCCAGACACCUACGGGUGGCAGCAGUCGAGAAUUUUUCUCAAUGGGCGCAAGCCUGAAGGAGCGACGCCGCGUGUGGGAUGAAGGGUUUCGAUCCGUAAACCACUGUCAUUUGUGAACAAUGGUUGCUAUUUAAAAGAUGGUAACUUGAUAGUAAUGAAAGAGGAAGGGACGGCUAACUCUGUGCCAGCAGCCGCGGUAAUACAGAGGUCCCAAGCGUUGUUCGGAUUCACUGGGCGUAAAGGGUGCGUAGGUGGCAUGGUAAGUUUGAUGUGAAAGCUCAGGGCUCAACCCUGAAAUGGCAUUGAAUACUACUGUGCUGGAGGUUUGGAGGGGGGACUGGAAUUCUUGGUGUAGCAGUGAAAUGCGUAGAUAUCAAGAGGAACACCAGUGGCGAANGCGAGUCCC
RNAcentral lists this ribosomal RNA (660 nucleotides) under uncultured Verrucomicrobiota bacterium. RNAcentral's name for it is "bacterial SSU rRNA". It matches the Rfam family "Bacterial small subunit ribosomal RNA", at positions 89 to 729 of the family's 1533-position model. Lineage: Bacteria; Pseudomonadati; Verrucomicrobiota. The record is from RNAcentral.